Molecule: long non-coding RNA, 202 nt
Filed under: Lathyrus oleraceus (garden pea)
Lineage: Eukaryota; Viridiplantae; Streptophyta; Magnoliopsida; Fabales; Fabaceae
Description: Pisum sativum (pea) long non-coding RNA (PSAT_LNC006162)
Source: RNAcentral
UAAAUCAUAAAAAAUUUAAAUUUAAUAUAAAAAAUAAUUUUAAUUCAGAAAAUGGAAGAGGAAAAUAUUAGAAUUUUUCUGGUGAAAGUCCCAUAUUUUUUGGAUUAAAAAUGAAAUUAAUAUGAAUUAAUCAAAAUAAAAGGAUUAAAUGAAAAAUCAGAAAAUAAAAUAUAAAUAAAAAACAAGGGCCAUUUGAUCUCCC